UACGUAGGGUGCAAGCGUUGUCCGGAAUUAUUGGGCGUAAAGAGCUCGUAGGCGGUCUGUCGCGUCGGCUGUGAAAACCCGAGGCUCAACCUCGGGCCUGCAGUCGAUACGGGCAAACUUGAGUGUUGCAGGGGAGACUGGAAUUCCUGGUGUAGCGGUGAAAUGCGCAGAUAUCAGGAGGAACACCGGUGGCGAAGGCGGGUCUCUGGGCAACAACUGACGCUGAGGAGCGAAAGCGUGGGGAGCGAACAGG
This 253-nucleotide ribosomal RNA is filed under the name uncultured bacterium. RNAcentral's name for it is "partial 16S ribosomal RNA". It matches the Rfam family "Bacterial small subunit ribosomal RNA", at positions 524 to 776 of the family's 1533-position model. The record is from RNAcentral.